Sceloporus undulatus (fence lizard) is the source of this 1265-nucleotide long non-coding RNA. RefSeq lists it as uncharacterized. The record is from RefSeq and is a predicted model, not a curated record. The transcript has 8 exons. Lineage: Eukaryota; Metazoa; Chordata; Lepidosauria; Squamata; Phrynosomatidae.
UCUGAGGGAGAAUUUGUUCUUGGUCCCAGUAGGAACGGGGCCUAUUCAAGGAGGCCCCAAUCCUAGGAGGAGAUGGGCCCCGAGAGAGAAUCUCGCCCACCGGAGAAAACUCUUCCUCUGCUUUCCCAGCAGAGCAAAGACAAGGCGCAGGGCUGAACAUACCCAGCCCCCCUAAGCCACUCUUCUUGGGGUUUCCAGAACGUUCAGUUUGGUCAUCCUCCUUUGGACAUGCUCCAGCUUGUCAACGUCCUUCUUGGAUUGUAGUGACCAGAAAUGGAAACAAUAUUCCAGACAGAUUUGUUCUCUCCUGUUUGUCCUCCUCCAAGGGGGGAUUUUGGGGUGCUGACAAGUGGAGGAAGGAUUGAACGAAGGAGAAUGAAAAUAGGAGGCAGAGAAGAAUUCCAUCGAUUUGUCCUUGACUCUGAUCUGAACCGGGGAGAGAGAGAGUGAGAACGAGCAGAUCCCACUUCCAAGAAACAUGACUCAGAGUACACACGAUCCGCCUUCCUUUCCCCGCUGCCGCGUCUGCACUGGCCCGAGGCACUACAGAAACGACUUGAAGGCACAUAACAACAACAGCAACCAGCCUCCACCACUGCCCUUCCAGCCUUUUCUCCUGGCUGCAUGAAAAAGCCCAUCAAGCCUCCCGCCCAGUUACAAACACCCACAUUCUGAGCAUGAGAAAGAACGGGGCAACCGAGAUUCAGAGCUUCACGAGAUUCAUGCUCCAGUGGCUCAGCAGAGGAAGUCGGUUUUCAUUGCUGUCGCCACCAGAGAGGGAAAGGUUGGCAGGCAUGACGUCAACCGGAUCCCUGCAGUAUGAAUGAGAGGCGUGGCGUCCCCUUCCGCCCCCCCAAACAGCACAUCAAUUGGACCUGCACAUUUGAUAUACCCAUCUAGACAGAGAAUCGCCCAAAACGAUGCACCUUCGAGUGUGGACACCCCCUCUUUGUGUAUUAUGAAGUGCACCCUGCAUCACCUAAAGGGGCAGUGGAUUCCUCUGUUUCAAGGUUCCAGUCCUGCCACACUUCUGUCCUACAUCUGAGAAGACCAUUCACCUCACUGAGCACAAGGGGAUCUACUCCAGAGGAGACAACUAAACAGGCCCAAGAGGAGGACAUGCCACUAGGUGUGUUUUACUCUCAGGAGAGGAAAAGAAGUCCAAUGGAUGGAGAUGGAGAAGCCACCAAGGGCAACACCAAGCAGAGAUCCUUCUUAGUGGUGGGAUGAAAGAAGAGGGGAAAGAUGGAAGAAAACCCUAGGCG